RNAcentral lists this long non-coding RNA (383 nucleotides) under Theobroma cacao (cacao). RNAcentral's name for it is "long non-coding RNA (TCAC_LNC002183)". Lineage: Eukaryota; Viridiplantae; Streptophyta; Magnoliopsida; Malvales; Malvaceae. The record is from RNAcentral.
GAAGUUUUUGGAUUCACCCCAGAAGAUGAGACCUCCCCAUGAAGCAAAGAGGAGGAUAUGUAGUUUGCUUUGUAUCCAAGGCUUCUCAGGAAUUAGGAUCACCAUUGCUCACAUGAUUAAAAACCCUUGGAAUUUCUCUUCCAGCUGUCGAUGUUUAUCAGCUUUGAUAACCCCUUUCGAUCCCACACUGUCAAAGGUCUAACCUUUGUCAGCAGAGGAUCACAAUUUCACAGAGUAAAAUGCAAGUUUCCAAACAAAAAAGUGAUGGUUUCCACUCUCCACUCUCCUCAAAACCUUGUAGCUUCAGUUGCACAAUACCCACCCUAGCAUGUGCCCUCUCAUUCAUACUGGCAAGACCCAAAGCUCAACUGACAUAAAAAAAG